RNAcentral lists this ribosomal RNA (901 nucleotides) under uncultured bacterium. Its description in RNAcentral is "bacterial SSU rRNA". It matches the Rfam family "Bacterial small subunit ribosomal RNA", at positions 337 to 1256 of the family's 1533-position model. The record is from RNAcentral.
UCCUACGGGAGGCAGCAGUGGGGAAUCUUGCACAAUGGGGGAAACCCUGAUGCAGCGACGCCGCGUGAGCGAUGAAGCCCUUCGGGGUGUAAAGCUCUUUCGGCAGGGAAGAUAGUGACGGUACCUGCAGAAGCAGCUGCGGCUAACUACGUGCCAGCAGCCGCGGUAAUACGUAGGCAGCAAGCGUUGUUCGGAGUUACUGGGCGUAAAGGGUGUGUAGGCGGUUCUUUAAGUUUGGUGUGAAAUCUCCCGGCUCAACCGGGAGGGUGCGCCGAAUACUGAGGGACUAGAGUGUGGGAGAGGAAAGUGGAAUUCCUGGUGUAGCGGUGAAAUGCGUAGAUAUCAGGAGGAACACCGGUGGUGUAGACGGCUUUCUGGACCAUAACUGACGCUGAGACACGAAAGCGUGGGUAGCAAACAGGAUUAGAUACCCUGGUAGUCCACGCCCUAAACGAUGCAUAUUUGGUGUGGGUCAUUCAGUUGAUCCGUGCCGGAGCUAACGCGUUAAAUAUGCCGCCUGGGGAGUACAGUCGCAAGGCUGAAACUCAAAGGAAUUGACGGGGGCCCGCACAAGCGGUGGAGCAUGUGGUUCAAUUCGACGCAACGCGAAGAACCUUACCUGGGCUCGAACGGCUUCUCAACGCCGGUGGAAACAUCGGUACCCCGCAAGGGGGUGGAGUCGAGGUGCUGCAUGGCUGUCGUCAGCUCGUGUCGUGAGAUGUUGGGUUAAGUCCCGCAACGAGCGCAACCCUUGUCCUGUGUUGCCAUCAUUCAGUUGGGAACUCGCAGGAGACCGCCAGCGAUAAGCUGGAGGAAGGUGGGGAUGACGUCAAGUCCUCAUGGCCUUUAUGUCCAGGGCUACACACGUGCUACAAUGGACGGUACAAACCGCAGCAAACCC